This 2584-nucleotide long non-coding RNA is filed under the name Aphidius gifuensis. Its description in RNAcentral is "uncharacterized LOC122849497". Lineage: Eukaryota; Metazoa; Arthropoda; Insecta; Hymenoptera; Braconidae. The record is from RNAcentral.
UGAUUUAGUUGGCUACGUCGAGUGUAUUGAGGGCUUGAAAACAUCAAAAACCGCUCAAGGAGAUGUGCUAAAUUUCGUACUUCACAAUGGAUCCAAGUCUAGGAUGAGGGUGGUAGUGAAAAAGAAAAAGCAUGUCGGCCAUGUAACGUUAGGAGCGAACGGACGGUCGGAUCGAGUGAGCGCUCCGAGCGAGCAAAUGAGUCUUCGCUCCUAUAAUUCGUGAGAGUGAGUCGUAGAAAUUACUGGUGGUUUAUUAAAGACCACCAACACCCAUAUCAGACAACCUAAUGAUAAAACAUCGAUUUUAGACUUCAAUGUACAAGCACAUAGUACUUUUACCAUUCAUGAACAAUAUGACACUUCUAAUUCUCGAGUUGUUGAUGAAUCGUAUCAAUCGAUUUAAUUGGAUGAUGUGAUGCUACAAAAUGGCAAUAUUGUUGGUGGUUACUUAAAAGUAAUGAAUAUGGAGCAUGUGAAUAUUACCGACCAGACAAAAAUGAGCCCAAUGGAGUUGAGGAAAUCAAUCCAUUUGGUUUUAUUAGUACGUACGAAACGUAAAGACAUUAACGAUUAUCUAGAAAGUCUUAAAAAAAUUAAGUUGGUUGGCCAGUCAACUGAUAAUGACACAGUACCACCAACACCACAGCUUCUUGCUAAAUUAAAGCAAGAUGAUAAAAUUAAAAUCAAAUUAAUAAAACCAUCAUCUCGAACCAUUCGUUCAGGAACACCAGCUGUUGACAAAGUAGUAACACCAGCUGAUGACCAAAUAGUAACACCAGCUGAUGAAAAAGAAGAAACACCAGCACCAAAGUUAAUUCGUAAAUUCAAGUAGGGAAUAUGAAGAUAAAAAUCCAAAAAUCAAAGGAAAGAGACUCGAACAGUUACGGCAACGCACGGUGUAAGCCGAGCGUUGUUAUGACGACAUGAGAACUUCUCUAAUGUGCGCUGAUUGGUCAGUGAAUAACAAGGAUGCGCAGUGGUUACUGGUCAUCUCUGUGACGACACACAUUAGAGGAGCUCGCGUGAACAAUUAGUAUGUGUAAUUGAUAAUUAAUAAAAGAACCAAACUUGUGGUAACUGGAUUGUGUCGUGUUUCCUAUUGUAUGGAGUGGGACGCUACACUUUCCUAUGGAUUCCUGGGUGAGCUACCUACUGGCGGCCAGCUUCAGCGUCAUAAAGAAAUUAUGUGUGUUUAAUUGUAAAUCUUAGAUCGACGCAAUGGCGCAAAACUAAGGUAUUUUUCAUUCCUAAACCUGGCACGGCUGACAUAGACCAACCAGGGGCUUAUAGACCAAUUAGUCUCACCUCUUACAUGCUCAAGGCGCUGAAGCGGCUUGUGGACAGAUAUGUAAGGAUGCGAUUCGGGUUAGUGGUUUGCUGAAUGGGUUGCAAUUCGCUUAUCAGUCAGGAAAGUCAGUAGAUGCGGCACUCCAUAGGUUUGUUAGCAAGUUAGAGGGUGCCAAAGACAGACGGUGGAUAUUUUCAUUUUGAAAUCAAAUUUGGAGGUGGGUAUUUUCAUGGACAUAGAGGGGUCUUUCAACAAGACCCCACUAGAGGCAUAGAUGAGGCAGCAAAAAGAUUUGGGGUUGAUCCAACUUUAAGAAGAUGAAUCAGGAACAUGCUUUAUGACCAAUGGAUUUGUGCAGAAAGAGGAGGGGUAGGAGGAUGCCCACAGGGGUUUUCACGCUCACGGCGAUGCAGACCAUAUAGCUAUCGUAAUGCAGCCAGGAGGCAAAGAUGCGAAUACCGCCUGUAGCAGAUCUUGAAUUGCACUAAGUAUAGUGAAAAGAUGGUGUGAAGUCUACUUGUCAAUCUGGACAAAACGGAGCUGGUAGUGUUCACGGGUAAAAGAAAACAAGAAGGGUGAAAAAAUUCAAAAUUCUAUGGCAAUGUACCCUCAAACUCGGUCAAACAUCUGGGUGUUAUACUAGAUAAAUGACUGAAUUGGGGAUUGCAAAUAGAAAGAGUUCAAAACAGGGCUGGUAUGAUGCUAUAUACGCUCAGAAGGAUCUGCGAUAGAAACUAGGGUAUUAACCCAAGCAUCAUGGCCUGGAUGUACAAAGCAGUGUUGAAGAAUAAGUAUUAAUAUUACCAUUUUUGUUUUCAUUAUUUUGAUCAACAUUUAAUUUGUUGGGAUCAUUAUCCACUUUAGAUUCAUCAGAGGUUUGUGAUAAUAAAGACAAUUUUUCCGUCAUUUCACAAAGUUUCGGGUUCCUAUUUAACGAUUCCAAAAAGAGAUUAAUAUACUUUUUUUUAUUGUUAUAUUUUUAUAUAUGUGGUGUUCUUAGCCAAACCACGAGGUUUGCGGCCUGACCCCUUGCGAUUUCGCUCAUUUUUUGAUAUGUUGUAGAUUUUGGCCUAAAAAAGAACCGUAUUUUUUUUUUUUUUUUUUUUUCGUUCAAUUUUUGAGGGCACCACCGUCGAAUUUCAUGAUAUCUCAAACAGCGACACUUUUUUUUUGAUGAAUUUUUUAUCACAGAGUGAUAAACAAGUAUUUUGAGCCUUUCACGAGAGUGGGCAUUCAAUGGGAAGUAUUUUUUUUCGAUUUUUGAAAUUUUGAUUUUCGAAAAAAAAAAAAAAAUUU